Long non-coding RNA from Rana temporaria (common frog), 578 nucleotides. RefSeq lists it as uncharacterized. NCBI's taxonomy places the organism in Eukaryota, Metazoa, Chordata, Amphibia, Anura, Ranidae. The record is from RefSeq and is a predicted model, not a curated record. The transcript has 4 exons.
GUAUUGAUAUAAAAGCAGCUGAUUUUCUGUGGAUAAUAAUCUAAUUUAUUCUACUUCAAGGAGCAAGUUUUUGAUCAAACCAACAUGGCUUUCGCAGGAUUUUCUAUCGGGAUAGGGACUGCUGGUGGAUAUAACAAUGGUUUUUACAAUGGUGGUUACCGCCCCAAUGUCUACGUACAGCCAGGGCUUGCUGUUGGUGGUUUAUAUCCUGGAUUUGCUUAUGGCCCUUGGGGAGGCUAUAAUGGAGGCUAUAAUCGUUAUAAUGGAGGCUAUAACGGCUAUAAUAGAGGCUAUAAUGGAGGCUACAACCACCACCGCCACCACGGCAGAUCUCGCUGGUGGUAACACAGGAAAAAGAAUUACGCAAACACACUAUGGAAGUCACAUGGACAUUCAUUCGGUGUUGAAAACACAGCAUAUUUCCUCAGCUAUUAACCUAUACUACAAAAUGCUUUAUUAAGCUUGAUGUCUAAUCUAUUGCAAUAACUGGCCAAAUUAUGAUGUUUGUCCACAUGCAACAUUUAAAAAAAAAAAUACAAAAACAAUGAAAAUAAAAACUAAAAAGCCUUUUACAAAUC